CCUUCUAGAAUGCCUUCUGACAUUUCCCCCACCUUAAAAAACAAAGUCCUUGUCUAAUCUCAGAAGCUAAGCAGGGACGGGCCUGGUUAGUACUUGAAUGGGAGACCACCUAGGAAGACCAGUCC
Molecule: ribosomal RNA, 125 nt
Filed under: Pteropus vampyrus (large flying fox)
Lineage: Eukaryota; Metazoa; Chordata; Mammalia; Chiroptera; Pteropodidae
Source: RNAcentral